CCUACGGGCGGCAGCAGUGAGGAAUAUUGGUCAAUGGGCUUACGCCUGAACCAGCCAAGUCGCGUGAGGGAAGACUGUCCUAUGGGUUGUAAACCUCUUUUGUCAGGGAGCAACGCCGGCUACGUGUAGACGGACUGAGAGUACCUGCAGCAAACGCAUCGGCUAACUCCGUGCCAGCCGCCGCGGUAAUACGGAGGAUGCGGGCGUUAUCCGGAUUUCUUGGGUUUACAGGGUGCGUAGGCGGAAUGCCCAGUCAGCGGUAAAAUCGCGAGGCUCAACCUCGGUCCGCCGUUGAAACGGGCGGUCUGUAGUGGGCGAGAAGUAUGCGGAAUGCGUGGUGUAGCGGUGAAAUGCAUAGAUAUCACGCAGAACUCCGAUUGCGAAGGCAGCAUACCGGCGCCCAACUGACGCUGAAGCACGAAAGCGUGGGUAUCGAACAGGAUUAGAGACCCGUGUAGUC
Molecule: ribosomal RNA, 460 nt
Filed under: uncultured bacterium
Lineage: Bacteria
Description: partial 16S ribosomal RNA
Rfam family: Bacterial small subunit ribosomal RNA
Source: RNAcentral